This 460-nucleotide ribosomal RNA is filed under the name uncultured bacterium. RNAcentral describes it as "partial 16S ribosomal RNA". It matches the Rfam family "Bacterial small subunit ribosomal RNA", at positions 338 to 795 of the family's 1533-position model. The record is from RNAcentral.
CCUACGGGUGGCAGCAGUGAGGAAUAUUGGUCAAUGGGCGCUAGCCUGAACCAGCCAAGUAGCGUGAAGGAUGACUGCCCUAUGGGUUGUACACUUCUUUUAUAUGGGAAUAAAGUGCAGUAUGUAUACUGCUUUUCAUGUACCAUAUGAAUAAGGAUCGGCUAACUCCGUGCCAGCAGCCGCGGUAAUACGGAGGAUCCGAGCGUUAUCAGGAUUUAUUGGGUUUAAAGGGAUCGUAGGUGGAUUGUUAAGUCAGUUGUGAAAGUUUGCGGCUCAACCGUAAAAUUGCAGUUGAAACUGGCAGUCGUGAGUACAGUAGAGGUGGGCGGAAUUCGUGGUGUAGCGGUGAAAUGCUUAGAUAUCACGAAGAACUCCGAUUGCGAAGGCAGUUCACUGGACUGCAACUGACACUGAGGCUCGAAAGUGUGGGUAUCAAACAGGAUUAGAUACCCGGGUAGUC